CCUGGGCCAGAGGCAACAGAGCCGCCCUGGCCACAGAGGGGCAAGCGGGCAGCGGCACAGCAGCACUUUGUGGAGCUGGUGAUGGUGGUGGACCACGCUGCGUUCCAGCGUUACCCCAACCUGCAGCGCGUUCACACGCGGGCCCUGGAAAUCGCCA
Lonchura striata (white-rumped munia) is the source of this 157-nucleotide non-coding RNA. The record is from RefSeq and is a predicted model, not a curated record. NCBI's taxonomy places the organism in Eukaryota, Metazoa, Chordata, Aves, Passeriformes, Estrildidae.